AGCAGUAGCCGCGGGAAUACGUAGGUGGCAAGCGUUGUCCGGAAUUAUUGGGCGUAAAGGGCUCGCAGGCGGUUUCUUAAGUCUGAUGUGAAAGCCCCGGCUCAACCGGGGAGGGUCAUUGGAAACUGGGAAACUUGAGUGCAGAGGAGGAGAGUGGAAUUCCACGUGUAGCGGUGAAAUGCGUAGAGAUGUGGAGGAACACCAGUGGCGAAGGCGACUCUCUGGUCUGUAACUGACGCUGAGGAGCGAAAGCGUGGGGAGCGAACAGGAUUAGAUACCCCUGUAGUCCCUGUCUCUUAUACC
Molecule: ribosomal RNA, 303 nt
Filed under: uncultured bacterium
Lineage: Bacteria
Description: partial 16S ribosomal RNA
Rfam family: Bacterial small subunit ribosomal RNA
Source: RNAcentral